GUGGGGAAUAUUGGACAAUGGGCGCAAGCCUGAUCCAGCCAUGCCGCGUGAGUGAUGAAGGCCUUAGGGUUGUAAAAUUCUUUCACCGGGGACGAUAAUGACGGUACCCGGAGAAGAAGCCCCGGCUAACUUCGUGCCAGCAGCCGCGGUAAUACGAAGGGGGCUAGCGUUGCUCGGAAUUACUGGGCGUAAAGGGCGCGUAGGCGGACAGUUUAGUCAGAGGUGAAAGCCCAGGGCUCAACCUUGGAAUUGCCUUUGAUACUGGCUGUCUUGAGUACGGGAGAGGUGAGUGGAACUCCGAGUGUAGAGGUGAAAUUCGUAGAUAUUCGGAAGAACACCAGUGGCGAAGGCGACUCACUGGCCCGUUACUGACGCUGAGGCGCGAAAGCGUGGGGAGCAAACAGGAUUAGAUACCCCUGUAGUCC
This 425-nucleotide ribosomal RNA is filed under the name uncultured bacterium. RNAcentral's name for it is "partial 16S ribosomal RNA". It matches the Rfam family "Bacterial small subunit ribosomal RNA", at positions 354 to 796 of the family's 1533-position model. The record is from RNAcentral.